CAGCCGCCACGGUAAUACGUAGGGUCCGAGCGUUGUCCGGAAUUAUUGGGCGUAAAGGGCUCGUAGGCGGUUUGUCACGUCGGGAGUGAAAACUCAGGGCUCAACCCUGAGCGUGCUUCCGAUACGGGCAGACUAGAGGUAUGCAGGGGAGAACGGAAUUCCUGGUGUAGCGGUGGAAUGCGCAGAUAUCAGGAGGAACACCGGUGGCGAAGGCGGUUCUCUGGGCAUUACCUGACGCUGAGGAGCGAAAGCAUGGGGAGCGAACAGGAUUAGAUACCCCGGUAGUCCCUGUCUCUUAUAU
RNAcentral lists this ribosomal RNA (301 nucleotides) under uncultured bacterium. RNAcentral's name for it is "partial 16S ribosomal RNA". It matches the Rfam family "Bacterial small subunit ribosomal RNA", at positions 509 to 809 of the family's 1533-position model. The record is from RNAcentral.